CUACGGGGCGCAGCAGUGGGGAAUAUUGGACAAUGGGGGAAACCCUGAUCCGGCCAUGCCGCGUGUGUGAAGAAGGCCUUUUGGUUGUAAAGCACUUUAAGCAGGGAGGAGAGGCUAAUGGUUAAUACCCAUUAGAUUAGACGUUACCUGCAGAAUAAGCACCGGCUAACUCUGUGCCAGCAGCCGCGGUAAUACAGAGGGUGCGAGCGUUAAUCGGAAUUACUGGGCGUAAAGCGAGUGUAGGUGGCUCAUUAAGUCACAUGUGAAAUCCCCGGGCUUAACCUGGGAACUGCAUGUGAUACUGGUGGUGCUAGAAUAUGUGAGAGGGAAGUAGAAUUCCAGGUGUAGCGGUGAAAUGCGUAGAGAUCUGGAGGAAUACCGAUGGCGAAGGCAGCUUCCUGGCAUAAUAUUGACACUGAGAUUCGAAAGCGUGGGUAGCAAACAGGAUUAGAUACCCUAGUAGUC
This 465-nucleotide ribosomal RNA is filed under the name uncultured bacterium. RNAcentral's name for it is "partial 16S ribosomal RNA". It matches the Rfam family "Bacterial small subunit ribosomal RNA", at positions 339 to 795 of the family's 1533-position model. The record is from RNAcentral.